This 459-nucleotide ribosomal RNA is filed under the name uncultured bacterium. RNAcentral's name for it is "partial 16S ribosomal RNA". It matches the Rfam family "Bacterial small subunit ribosomal RNA", at positions 338 to 795 of the family's 1533-position model. The record is from RNAcentral.
CCUACGGGAGGCAGCAGUGAGGAAUAUUGGUCAAUGGGCGGGAGCCUGAACCAGCCAAGUCGCGUGAAGGAAGAAGGUACUUAGUAUUGUAAACUUCUUUUGUCGGGGAACAAAGGCGGAGACGCGUCUCCGGAUGAGUGUACCCGAAGAAAAAGCAUCGGCUAACUCCGUGCCAGCAGCCGCGGUAAUACGGAGGAUGCGAGCGUUAUCCGGAUUUAUUGGGGUUAACGGGUGGGCAGGGGGGAGAUCAAGUCAGCGGUAAAAUGUCGGGGCUCAACCCCGGCCGGCCGUUGAAACUGGUUGUCUAGAGUUGGAGAGAGGUAUGCGGAAUUCGUGGUGUAGCGGUGAAAUGCAUAGAUAUCACGAAGAACUCCGAUUGCGAAGGCAGCAUACCGGCUCCAUACUGACGCUGAGGCACGAAAGCGUGGGGAUCGAACAGGAUUAGAUACCCGAGUAGUC